Molecule: long non-coding RNA, 4114 nt
Organism: Rattus norvegicus (Norway rat)
Lineage: Eukaryota; Metazoa; Chordata; Mammalia; Rodentia; Muridae
Source: RefSeq, a predicted model, not a curated record
GGCUCCUUCACAGGAGGGAAUUCACGCCUGAUACUGUGCAGAUCUGGUUACAAGACGUGCCAGGGAAGUCAUGGAGGCCCUUCCCACCUCCCGGGACCUAUUGGAUACUGGAGAAUAAGGAGUCACUGUCCUCAGCUCCAUACUGGUGCUCAGGUGGAAGACCCUGCUUGAACUCAGCGGGUCACAAAACACAACAGAAAGACUUGAGAGUAGGAUGGGGACCCAGAAGGAGAGGGGUCAGUGAGGGUUGGCGUGAGGGUGAGAGGAUGGAGAGGAUGGGGGCAUGAGUGUGAUCCGUGUACUACACACAUGUGUGAACUGGCAAAGAAGUCAAUGACAAGGAAGUUAUUCACAACAUUAUCAUUCUCUUUCUUUUGUGUGCAAAUUAAGUGUAUCUAAGAGGGCGUCUUAUUGUUCCUGGUUUGUUUGGUUUUUGAGACAAGAUCUCAGUAGGUAACCUGGAAUUUACUGGAUGUCAUCAAAGUCAUCAGGGGUGUUGCCUUUGAUGUGACGCUGAUAUUUCUCUUACUAUUGGGCAUUUCUCCCAGUGCUCACAGGUACCUCCUCCUGAUUCAGUUUUCUAUAUCCACUGUCUAGUUAUCCAUUUAGCAAAAUGUUUUGUUGCAAAAUGUUCUAACAAUGUAACAGACAUUCUGUAUAUAAAUCCUGAUGCAUGUGUCUCUCUGCUUUACAUUAAUCAAAUAAGACUAAUACUCCUCAAAACACUAUUCAAAUUAAGUGACUGGAAUUAUAAUUAUUCUGUUUCAUCAAACUAUGAUGCUAUUAUUUUCUGAACCUGUAAGAGGAAAAAAAAAACUCCUCCAAUUACAACUGUAAGAAGUGUCAUGAUUUCAGAGACACUAAUUAGCGUAAGAGUGUGACUCCCAGAGUGGAAUAGCUAUGACCGUUACAGGUGUAUCAGCUAAUCAGAGAACUAUUUUCAGUAAAUCUCCCUUUCCACUAUUUAUGCUAACCUAUAUUACUGACUCUGGGAUGCCCACUUCUCUUUUUAGCCAUAUAAAUAUCCCUGUUGAUUACUGUUAUUAGUAAGUCAGUUUCUUACUUAGGACUAAGUGACUAACAGACAUAACAUGGAAAAAACCUGAAGUCGCCACUUCUAAAUACAACGGGAUGAGGCUAGCUUAAGGAGCCAGCAGUCUUGGUCUCUCUGAUUAAAUAUUUAUUGGGAGUCAUAAUACAUAGUAGGUACUGAGCUGUGAAUCAUUGAUGAAGAUGAUGGGGUAAACCCCAAAAUUGUUGAGGGGUUCUAAUCUAUACUAAAAAUAUACAAAUGACCACCAGGGAGAUAAAAAGGUGGCAAUAGGUAAGGGGCAUUCUGUCCUUAAAAUUAAAGUUCAACCGAUGCUGUACAUAUAAAAUGUAGCUUGUGCAUGCUACUAGCUCCAGAAUUGGGGGAAACAAGGAAGGAGAAGUGAGAGUCUGGGGCUAGUGAGGGCUACAUAAUGAAAUCAUCAUGGCUCAAAUAAAGACAGGAAAACCUGAAAAACAAAACUCCUCCAUCCCAUUCCCUCCCCUUCUCACCAGUCCCCACCCUGGACAGCACUCACUGAUAGCUGUCUGUCUCUAAAAGUUGAUGUGUGUUUUCUGGAACAGUACAGAAGGUACCGUGCACUGCAGGAACCAAAACCAGACACACAGGUGUGGAUCGCAACCAACCACACAUAACUGAGACUGGAUGAGGAGGAGGGGACUACUGUAUUCUCCAUCCACAGAGCCUUUUACUCAUUACAGCAAUGCAAAGUCCAUCCGUGUUGCACAUAUCUUUUCAUUUUUUUAUUUAUUUUAUGUAUAUGCUGUUGCUGACACACCAGAAGAGGGCUUCAGAUCCCAUUACAGAUGGUUGUGAGUCACCAUGUGGUUGCUGGGAAUUGAACUCAGGACCUCAGUGUAAGCACUGAUAGAGGACAGCAGAGGGUGUUACAUCUUUUGGGGCUGGAGUUACAGAUGGUUGUGAGCUGAUCAGCAUGGAUGCCAGGAACUGAACUCAGGUCCUCUAGAAGAGUCUCAAAUGCUGAGCCAUUUCCCAUGUCCGGUGCAUCAAUAGUAGGCACACGUAACUUUUCAAGAAACUGCCACACUAUAUUGCAGAGUGGCUGUGUCGCCUUAUAUCACCACCAGCAGUGUAGAGAGUUCUAGUCCCUCCACAGUCUCAGCCACACUGGUGUGGCUGGCAUUUUGAAUUCUGGCUAUUCUAAUGAGUAUGAGGUCAUCUCUCUGAUGACUAGUUAUACUGAGCAUCUUUCCACGCGCUUACUUCCUGUCUGUGUAUCUUCUUUGGCAAAAUGAUAAAAAUUUUUGUUCAUUUUUAUUGCUUUGAUUAUUACUGAACCUAGAGAACUAUAAAAACAUUCUGAUCUCGAAUCCAUGACCAUCGAUAAAAAGGAACAAACUAUGAAUACAUUCAGCAGCGUGGGUAAAUAAGCUGAGUAAGCAGGCACGUAUGACUCCUUCAGGAAAAUAUUGGAAGGUGUAAAUUAUCUCACAAGACAUUUUGCAUUCUUCUCUCUCCUCUCUUUUCCUUGUUUUGUAGGUAAACUUUCCUAUAUUUUGAAGACCUUUACAUCUCUCCGUGCAACUUCAUUUCAGAGUCUGGCACUGUGGCUCUUCUCCAUUUCUUUGUAGCCUGAGGAGGAGCGAGGAGGAGUGGAGGAGGGGAGGGAGAGCUCGCUGAGUACUGGGCAGUCUGUAUGAGCCUGCUUCUUUCCUUGGUUUGUCAAGUGAUCUUUUACUGACGAGCUUCCCUCUGGGGUUAAGCAGUUGAGCACUGUACUGCACCACUACUGGUGUCAUCCAUGGAGUCAAAGGGCAGCAACACCCAACACCCAACACUGCAGCCUGAGAGCUGGUAACCCCUGUCUCUAACAGUUCUAGGAGGUCUCUAGAUAAAACCCGGUGGGGUGGCGAGGCUGACACCACCUAACCGAGAGUGCCUGUCCCACUCUAACAUUUUUCUGUCUUCACUGCCUCUGAGUAGGUGUUUGAGGACUUCAGUGGUUAGGGCAGAGGUAGAAGGUGCCUGUCCUGAAUGCAAACUCCACUCUUACAUCUUUCCCAUUGCUAGCUGUCCUGGUGAUGCUGUCAUCAACUUUAUUUUGGGGUGGUGGUGGUGGUAGUAACACCAGGAACCUGAGAAGAGGAGGUGCCGCCUUCUGCUGGCCCUUUGACAUCUUUGGGGCUGACUUGGAUGAUACAGCAGAGGCAGCUGGUUCCACACAUAGGAGGAAAGCUGCACCUUGGCCUUCUCCAAGCCAAAAAUCUGAAAAGAGUACCUUCUGAGCUUUGGAUUGCUCAGUUCAGCUCAGAGCCCUGAAAAUGAUGGGCUCUGGGGCGGCCAGAAAUACUCCUGCAGUAACUUAAGUUUCUUUUCAAGGAUUUGGGCAACCCCUACCAAUGCCUGCUGAGUACCAUGAAGAAGUCUUAUAGUCUGCCCGUUAACUGUCUACCCAGGACGGCUUCUCAGGGAUACAGGUGGCUCAAAUACCACUGGGUCCUGUAAGAGCUGACAAUUCCCAAUUUCCUCAGCCACUAGUUUUCUGUCUACAUGGUCUUUUGGGGAUUGCUGUUCCCAUAGUUCUGCUUGGUUUUUACUAAUUCUCAUCUAUUGAAGGAAUGGGUUGAAGAAGGAAUACUUUAUUUUUCAGUUUCACUUCAUGUUCUUUACCUGGAAGGCCCUUGUGUAUCUGUGAAAUAGACAAGCGUAGUGAUCACGUCAUCUUGGCUGCUCCACAGAUCCUAGUCCAGCAUGAAGCAUGGAUCCGUACACAAACUAUGAUGAGGAUUAAGAAACCGAGCAAGGGAUGGAUUAAACAGCUUCUCAAAGUCAAGUAACCAUUGAGCCUGUGUUCUCCAUGUCUAGAGAGCAUCUCUUGUGUCUUUCUUGUUGGCCCUUUGCUCCUGCUAACCCAUCCAGGGUACUGUCAGCAAACCCAGUCUCUACAACGUCAGCCCCUCCAUAGUGACCCCACGGUGCCUGAAUGUUAGCUCUGGAUCCCGCACCACAAGCAAACUUGUCCUCACCCAACCUCUCCCCUCUAACAUUCCAACUUUAUCUUCUACGGAUCUCCAGAAGGUCCAGAGAAUACCCAAAACAAAA